Molecule: ribosomal RNA, 600 nt
Filed under: uncultured bacterium
Lineage: Bacteria
Description: bacterial SSU rRNA
Rfam family: Bacterial small subunit ribosomal RNA
Source: RNAcentral
AUCGCAUGAUGCAGUGUGAAAAACUCCGGUGGUAUGAGAUGGACCCGCGUCUGAUUAGCUGGUUGGUGAGGUAACGGCCCACCAAGGCGACGAUCAGUAGCCGGCCUGAGAGGGUGACCGGCCACAUUGGGACUGAGACACGGCCCAAACUCCUACGGGAGGCAGCAGUGGGGAAUAUUGCACAAUGGGGGAAACCCUGAUGCAGCGACGCCGCGUGAAGGAAGAAGUAUCUCGGUAUGUAAACUUCUAUCAGCAGGGAAGAUAAUGACGGUACCUGACUAAGAAGCCCCGGCUAACUACGUGCCAGCAGCCGCGGUAAUACGUAGGGGGCAAGCGUUAUCCGGAUUUACUGGGUGUAAAGGGAGCGUAGGCGGCGGAGCAAGUCAGAAGUGAAAGCCCGGGGCUCAACCCCGGGACGGCUUUUGAAACUGCCCUGCUUGAUUUCAGGAGAGGUAAGCGGAAUUCCUAGUGUAGCGGUGAAAUGCGUAGAUAUUAGGAGGAACACCAGUGGCGAAGGCGGCUUACUGGACUGACAAUGACGCUGAGGCUCGAAAGCGUGGGGAGCAAACAGGAUUAGAUACCCUGGUAGUCCACGCCGUA